GACGAACGCUGGCGGCGUGCUUAACACAUGCAAGUCGAGCGAUGAAGUUUCUUCGGAAAUGGAUUAGCGGCGAACGGGUGAGGAACACGUGAAGAAUCUGCCCUCCACUUUGGGAUAACACAGGGAAACCUGUGCUAAUACCGAAUAUUGAAACAUAAGUGGCAUCACUGAGUUUUGAAAGAAUUUCGGUGGAGGAUGACUUCGCGGCCUAUCAGCUAGUUGGUGAGGUAAUGGCUCACCAAGGCAACGACGGGUAGCCGGCCUGAGAGGGCCACCGGCCAGACUGGGACUGAGACACGGCCCAGACUCCUACGGGAGGCAGCAGUGGGGAAUAUUGGGCAAUGGAGGAAACUCUGACCCAGCGACGCCGCGUGCGGGAUGAAGGCCUUCGGGUUGUAAACCGCUUUCAGUAGGGAAGAAGCGAAAGUGACGGUACCUACAAAAGAAGCACCGGCUAACUAUGUGCCAGCCGCCGCGGUAA
This 481-nucleotide ribosomal RNA is filed under the name uncultured bacterium. Its description in RNAcentral is "partial 16S ribosomal RNA". It matches the Rfam family "Bacterial small subunit ribosomal RNA", at positions 28 to 523 of the family's 1533-position model. The record is from RNAcentral.